Pan troglodytes (chimpanzee) is the source of this 249-nucleotide long non-coding RNA. RefSeq lists it as uncharacterized. The transcript has 3 exons. The record is from RefSeq and is a predicted model, not a curated record. NCBI's taxonomy places the organism in Eukaryota, Metazoa, Chordata, Mammalia, Primates, Hominidae.
GCCUUGUCUCUGAUAGAAUUGGCCUGUUGUGGACGGGCUUUGUGUAGAUUAGAGAAAGAAGAAGAUGCUCUUUUGGUGUAAUUGUUCAGCUAAAUCAGUGUGAGACCAAGGACCCUGGGGCUCCUCCAGUCAUUGCAGCUGUAUCACAACUACCCUGACAGAGGCUUUACAAAUAGCUACUGUUAUAUCAAACUACAUGCAACUAGUUUUCCCUGCUGGACUUCCAUAGUUGUGAAGCCAUGAUUACCA